Molecule: long non-coding RNA, 230 nt
Filed under: Prunus dulcis (almond)
Lineage: Eukaryota; Viridiplantae; Streptophyta; Magnoliopsida; Rosales; Rosaceae
Description: sRNA ncRNA
Source: RNAcentral
AUGACGAUUUUAUGUCAAUCAUAUGUACAAGAAAAACGAAGUGGAGGAGGCAACGGCUGCCGGCAUUAUUGGAAAUUUCAACUUCAAUUGAAAACGAUAAAUGAAGACUGGAGAGAGAGAGCAUAGAACAAAGUUGUCAACCACACCACAGAGAACCUUCUCAUUCUUCAGGGGUCGUCAUUUUGUUGGGCUCUCACGAUGUGAACCAAGCUAGUCUGUAUAGCGGUUGA